UUUAACAGCCUGCCCACCCUGGAA
Molecule: small nuclear RNA, 24 nt
Filed under: Arabidopsis thaliana (thale cress)
Lineage: Eukaryota; Viridiplantae; Streptophyta; Magnoliopsida; Brassicales; Brassicaceae
Description: snRNA_07320
Source: RNAcentral